RNAcentral lists this ribosomal RNA (399 nucleotides) under uncultured bacterium. RNAcentral describes it as "partial 16S ribosomal RNA". It matches the Rfam family "Bacterial small subunit ribosomal RNA", at positions 522 to 918 of the family's 1533-position model. The record is from RNAcentral.
AAUACGUAGGGUGCGAGCGUUGUCCGGAAUUACUGGGCGUAAAGAGCUCGUAGGUGGUUUGUCGCGUCGUCUGUGAAAUUCCGGGGCUUAACUCCGGGCGUGCAGGCGAUACGGGCAUAACUUGAGUACUGUAGGGGAGACUGGAAUUCCUGGUGUAGCGGUGAAAUGCGCAGAUAUCAGGAGGAACACCGGUGGCGAAGGCGGGUCUCUGGGCAGUAACUGACGCUGAGGAGCGAAAGCAUGGGUAGCGAACAGGAUUAGAUACCCUGGUAGUCCAUGCCGUAAACGGUGGGCGCUAGGUGUAGGGGUCUUCCACGACUUCUGUGCCGUAGCUAACGCAUUAAGCGCCCCGCCUGGGGAGUACGGCCGCAAGGCUAAAACUCAAAUGAAUUGACGGGG